This 495-nucleotide ribosomal RNA is filed under the name Lactiplantibacillus plantarum. RNAcentral's name for it is "bacterial SSU rRNA". It matches the Rfam family "Bacterial small subunit ribosomal RNA", at positions 155 to 636 of the family's 1533-position model. The record is from RNAcentral. Lineage: Bacteria; Bacillati; Bacillota; Bacilli; Lactobacillales; Lactobacillaceae.
AACAGGUGCUAAUACCGCAUAACAACUUGGACCGCAUGGUCCGAGCUUGAAAGAUGGCUUCGGCUAUCACUUUUGGAUGGUCCCGCGGCGUAUUAGCUAGAUGGUGGGGUAACGGCUCACCAUGGCAAUGAUACGUAGCCGACCUGAGAGGGUAAUCGGCCACAUUGGGACUGAGACACGGCCCAAACUCCUACGGGAGGCAGCAGUAGGGAAUCUUCCACAAUGGACGAAAGUCUGAUGGAGCAACGCCGCGUGAGUGAAGAAGGGUUUCGGCUCGUAAAACUCUGUUGUUAAAGAAGAACAUAUCUGAGAGUAACUGUUCAGGUAUUGACGGUAUUUAACCAGAAAGCCACGGCUAACUACGUGCCAGCAGCCGCGGUAAUACGUAGGUGGCAAGCGUUGUCCGGAUUUAUUGGGCGUAAAGCGAGCGCAGGCGGUUUUUUAAGUCUGAUGUGAAAGCCUUCGGCUCAACCGAAGAAGUGCAUCGGAAACUGG